UUGGAUUCCAGACUAAGUAUGAACAUCCCGAACAUGCGAAACUUUUGUGCGCCUAAGGUGGAUAUGCUGGAAGAAAAUAUUGUUCAAACACGUAGUAUUGAUCAAUACAGGGCAUAACGGGCUGAUCACCCGCGUGCCCAUAAGUUAUGACGGUUUGCAGAUGAAGUUCUGUUUAACCUUUUCGAAAAUUAAAAACAAAGUUCAUAGUCUGUCGAUUGUUCACCAAUUAUAGUCAGUACGUAGUUUCAAAAUUUGAAAUAGAAUUGAUAUGUUGUUUAGUGUUGCUUCAGUUUACUUCACAACUAUUGAUUCGUUGUAGAAGUGUCGUUCAAAAAAAAUAUUUACUUCUUUCAGCUUACAUUUAUGGUUUGUUAAUACUUGUUGGGUACUCAAAUGCUCAUUCUUGCUUAAUUUGAAUGUUUUCAGCUAAGCGUGAACAACCUGAAG
RNAcentral lists this long non-coding RNA (447 nucleotides) under Panax ginseng (ginseng). Its description in RNAcentral is "long non-coding RNA (PGIN_LNC001665)". The record is from RNAcentral. Lineage: Eukaryota; Viridiplantae; Streptophyta; Magnoliopsida; Apiales; Araliaceae.